UAGAAAAACCUUUCUUUAGCACCAGAAAC
This 29-nucleotide non-coding RNA is filed under the name Rattus norvegicus (Norway rat). Lineage: Eukaryota; Metazoa; Chordata; Mammalia; Rodentia; Muridae. The record is from RNAcentral.